GUGUUUGCUUCAGCAGCACAUACACCAAGAUUGAAACAAUACAGAGAAGAUUAGCACAGGCCCUGCACAAAGAUAACAUGCAAAUCUGUGAAAUGGUCUAUACUAUU
Molecule: small nuclear RNA, 107 nt
Organism: Cercocebus atys (sooty mangabey)
Lineage: Eukaryota; Metazoa; Chordata; Mammalia; Primates; Cercopithecidae
Source: Ensembl